Molecule: transfer RNA, 69 nt
Filed under: Aularches miliaris
Lineage: Eukaryota; Metazoa; Arthropoda; Insecta; Orthoptera; Pyrgomorphidae
Description: tRNA-Arg
Source: RNAcentral
AAAUAAGAAGUGAAAUAAAUUACAUUCAGUUUCGACCUGAAAAAAUGGUAUUAAAAUUACCCUUAUUUA